CGGGAUAUAGCGUAGUCCGGUUAUCGCGCCUGCUUUGGGAGCAGGAGAUCCCCAGUUCGAAUCUGGGUGUCCCGACCA
Molecule: transfer RNA, 78 nt
Filed under: Bacteroidales bacterium
Lineage: Bacteria; Pseudomonadati; Bacteroidota; Bacteroidia; Bacteroidales
Description: tRNA-Pro
Rfam family: tRNA
About the family: Transfer RNA (tRNA) molecules are approximately 80 nucleotides in length. Their secondary structure includes four short double-helical elements and three loops (D, anti-codon, and T loops).
Source: RNAcentral